Molecule: ribosomal RNA, 468 nt
Filed under: uncultured bacterium
Lineage: Bacteria
Description: partial 16S ribosomal RNA
Rfam family: Bacterial small subunit ribosomal RNA
Source: RNAcentral
GACGAACGCUGGCGGCGUGCUUAACACAUGCAAGUCGAACGGAAAGGCCCUGCUUUUGUGGUGUGCUCGAGUGGCGAACGGGUGAGUAACACGUGAGUAACCUGCCCUUGACUUUGGGAUAACUUCAGGAAACUGGGGCUAAUACCGGAUAGGAGCUCCUGCUGCAUUGUGGGGGUUGGAAAGUCUCGGCGGUUGGGGAUGGACUCGCGGCUUAUCAGCUUGUUGGUGGGGUAGUGGCUUACCAAGGCUUUGACGGGUAGCCGGCCUGAGAGGGUGACCGGCCACAUUGGGACUGCGAUACGGACCAGACUCCUACGGGAGGCAGCAGUGGGAAAUAUUGCACAAUGGGCGGAAGCCUGAUGAAGCAACGCCGCGUGCGGGAUGACGGCCUUCGGGUUGUAAACCGCUUUCGCCUGUGACGAAGCGUGAGUGACGGUAAUGGGUAAAGAAGCACCGGCUAACUACGUG